CCGGCGCACGGUGAGUAACGCGUAUGCAACUUACCUAUCAGGAGGGGAUAACCCGGCGAAGUCGGACUAAUACCGCAUGAAGCAGGGGCCCCGCAUGGGGAUAUUUGCUAAAGAUUCAUCGCUGAUAGAUAGGCAUGCGUUCCAUUAGGCAGUUGGCGGGGUAACGGCCCACCAAACCGACGAUGGAUAGGGGUUCUGAGAGGAAGGUCCCCCACAUUGGUACUGAGACACGGACCAA
RNAcentral lists this ribosomal RNA (238 nucleotides) under uncultured bacterium. RNAcentral describes it as "partial 16S ribosomal RNA". It matches the Rfam family "Bacterial small subunit ribosomal RNA", at positions 95 to 334 of the family's 1533-position model. The record is from RNAcentral.